This 109-nucleotide ribosomal RNA is filed under the name Candidatus Limisoma gallistercoris. The record is from RNAcentral. Lineage: Bacteria; Pseudomonadati; Bacteroidota; Bacteroidia; Bacteroidales.
AAAGGCGGCAAUAGCGCGGGGGUCCCACCCCUCCCCAUUCCGAACAGGGCAGUUAAGCCCCGCCGCGCCGAUGGUACUGGGAAACCGGGAGAGCAGGUCGCCGCCCCCU